GUAUUAACAUAAAGACAUUUAAUUCUAUGGAUACUGAGUACAUUUCUCCAUUAUCUAAAUGUUAAAGAUUUCAAAAUGCAUUCAUUUUGUUAGGGUCAGUGUUGGAGAUUCUCAUACAUUGGUGGGACUUCCAUAAAUAACAGGCUUUAUGUUGUCUCCCUUGUACAGACUAAAUGUAAUCAUUUCUGUGCAAGUUUUUAACCACCGUAGACUCAAAAUUGUUUUUUCCCGCCUUCUUUUGUAGCAGACGAUUGUGGUUUAUUUUGGUAGUGCAGACGAACAAGAUGGAGGCCUGGGCGUUAGUUAGAGCAUAGACUAUAUAUUACAUGGACUGCCAACUCUACGCACUAAGCCUAUAUUUUUCAAUAAACAAGUCCCGUUCACGGAGGCGUCCUUAGUAGCGUGGUAAAUUGACUUCCGGUAGAUUUUUUUUUACGUAUAAAGAAACCAUUCCCGAAGAUUUUUACCACCACUUUUACAGCAAAUCAUGAAUGGAAACUGAAUUGUUAAAGAAGAUGUUACAGAGGAGCAUACUACUUCCAAAAACCUGAUCUGAUUGUCACUAACUUUCAAAUUGAAAGGGAUCUACUACAACUGCUCAUGAAUUUCGAGAUUUUCCAGCUAAUAGAGGAACAAAUUUUAUCUGCUUCCACUUAGCCAAACAGCAUGGAAAUAUGCUAUUGUAAUGAGUAGAAGAUAUUUGUCAUUUAGAGUAUCAUGCAACAGCUAAUU
This is a long non-coding RNA of Biomphalaria glabrata, 732 nucleotides long. RefSeq lists it as uncharacterized. NCBI's taxonomy places the organism in Eukaryota, Metazoa, Mollusca, Gastropoda, Planorbidae. The transcript has 3 exons. The record is from RefSeq and is a predicted model, not a curated record.